RNAcentral lists this ribosomal RNA (253 nucleotides) under uncultured bacterium. RNAcentral's name for it is "partial 16S ribosomal RNA". It matches the Rfam family "Bacterial small subunit ribosomal RNA", at positions 524 to 776 of the family's 1533-position model. The record is from RNAcentral.
UACGUAGGGGGCAAGCGUUGUCCGGAUUUAUUGGGCGUAAAGAGCGUGUAGGCGGCUUUACAGGUCCGUUGUGAAAACUCGAGGCUCAACCUCGAGACGCCGGUGGAAACCGUAAGGCUAGAGUCCGGAAGAGGAGAGUGGAAUUCCUGGUGUAGCGGUGAAAUGCGCAGAUAUCAGGAGGAACACCAAUGGCGAAGGCAGCUCGCUGGGACGUGACUGACGCUGAGACGCGAAAGCGUGGGGAGCAAACAGG